AAUCAUAAUAUAUCAGAUCAAAACUGUUGGAUUACAAUAGUGGAUAUUAUAGGAGGAACAUCAUCCAAAUGUGAUGCAUAAUCUAACAAUUUUCUUGACAACAAAACUUAAACUAAAAAUAUCGAUCUUAACUGAGGAACAACAUCCGAUAGGAAUGUCAUCCCUACAACAUAACUAAAACUAAAUGCAUAUGUCAUCAUAAUCAUCAUGAAACGGAUCAUUGACAACAUCGUUGCAGUAUAAUCGCCAUGCUCCCACAUACUCAUCCAUUUAUCUUUUGAAUCUACAACCAAGAAAACAAAAAUGAACUAUUAACACACAAUACCUUGACAUGAUGCAAGUAGUAAUAUAGGCAAAUAUUAGUCAUGUACAAAGGUUGAAGGCCAUGCAAUCUUUUCUUUUUAUGCAGUAUUGCAGUUUUUGUGACUUCAUACCAAAUUUUCAGUUUGCACUAGUGCCAUAUCGACAUGCACUGCCCAGAAUUCAUUUCUAAUUUCAGGACCAUCAAGUUUAAAUUUAGGACCAGAACUUACCAUUGUAUCUAGAGCUACACCCUUGUUAUGAUUUUUCGGGCUCUUCAAGAAUACUUUAGUUCCUGCCUGUUAGAAAAAAUAAAAGUUGCCAUAUGAGAAGACAGAAACAAAACAGGGG
RNAcentral lists this long non-coding RNA (651 nucleotides) under Triticum aestivum (bread wheat). RNAcentral's name for it is "long non-coding RNA (TAES_LNC025720)". The record is from RNAcentral. Lineage: Eukaryota; Viridiplantae; Streptophyta; Magnoliopsida; Poales; Poaceae.